UUAAGCUAGAAAGGGCAUACGGUGGAUGCCUAGGCACUAAGAGUCGAAGAAGGACGCGGUAAGCUGCGAAAAGCUGUGAGGAGCUGCAAGCAAGCUAAGAAUCACAGAUAUCCGAAUGGGACAACCCGUCAGUGAUAAUACGCUGACAUCGUAUAUUGAGUCAAGUAGAUAUACGAAGACAACCCGGGGAACUGAAACAUCUAAGUACCCGGAGGAAAAGAAAGCAAAAGCGAUUCCCCCAGUAGCGGCGAGCGAAAAGGGAGCAGCCCAAACCGAUUCUUCGGAAUCGGGGUAGAGGACUUCCAAAAAGAAUGGAUGGUUAGCAGAAUGAUCUGGGAAGGUCAGUCGAAGAAGGUAAUAACCCUGUAUGCGAAAGCCAGAAAUUUGGGGAAGGAUCCGGAGUACCACGAAGCACGUGAAAUUUCGUGGGAAGCAGGGGGGACCACCCUCCAAGGCUAAAUACUCCUUAGUGACCGAUAGUGAACAAGUACCGUGAGGGAAAGGUGAAAAGAACCCCGGAAGGGGAGUGAAAAAGAACCUGAAACCGUAUGCUUACAAGCUGUCACAGCACCAUACGAGUGUAGUGGCGUACUUUUUGUAGAACGGACCGGCGAGUUACGAUGUCAAGCGAGGUUAAGAUGAGAAGUCGGAGCCGAAGCGAAAGCGAGUCUGAAGAGGGCGAAAGUUUGACAUAGUAGACCCGAAACCGGGUGAUCUACCCAUGAGCAGGAUGAAGCGUUAGUAAAAUAACGUGGAGGUCCGAACCAGGUAUCGUUGAAAAGAUAUUGGAUGACUUGUGGGUAGGGGUGAAAUUCCAAUCGAACCCGGAGAUAGCUGGUUCUCCUCGAAAUAGCUUUAGGGCUAGCCUUGAAUUAGAUUAUGGGAGGUAGAGCACUGAAUAGGCUAGGGGGCUUCACCGCCUACCGAACCUUAUCAAACUACGAAUGCCGAUAAUUGAUGUUCAGGAGUCAGACUGUGGGGGAUAAGCUUCAUGGUCAAAAGGGAAACAGCCCAGACCGCCGGCUAAGGUCCCAAAGUGUGUGUUAAGUGGAAAAGGAUGUGAAAUCGCUCAGACAACCAGGAUGUUGGCUCAGAAGCAGCCACCAUUAAAAGAGUGCGUAAUAGCUCACUGGUCCAGGGGUUUUGCGCCGAAAAUGUAACGGGGCUCAAACACACCACCGAAGCCGCGGAAUGUUUUAGGACAUUGGUAGAGGAGCGUUCUUAAUGCGACGAAGGCGUACCGAGAGGAGCGUUGGAGCGUUAAGAAGUGAGAAUGCCGGUAUUAGUAUGCGAAAAGGCAGGUGAGAAUCCUGCCCGCCGAAAAUCUAAGGAUUCCUGGGGAAGGCUCGUCCGCCCAGGGUAAGUCGGGACCUAAGGCGAGGCCGAAAGGCGUAGUCGAUGGGAAACUGGUAGAUAUUCCAGUACCAGCGGAGGUCAAUUGAGUGAAGUAGUGAAGCAGAAGGAUAGGGAGAGCGCCCAGUUGGUGAGGCGUUUAAGUAAGUAGGGUGAUGUGCAGGCAAAUCCACACAUCGAGAGCCUGAGAUACGAAUACGAGUGAAAACUAGUAGCGAAGUCCCCGAUUCCCGGCUGCCAAGAAAAGCUGCUAACGAGACCGAAGGUGCCCGUACCGCAAACCGACACAGGUAGAUGGGGUGAGAAACCUAAGGCGCGCGAGAAAACUCUUGUUAAGGAACUCGGCAAAAUGAACCCGUAACUUCGGGAGAAGGGUUGCUCAUUAGUGUGAGUAUCCGUGCGAUACAGAGCACAGAUGAGUCGCAGAGAAAAGGUCCAGGCGACUGUUUAGCAAAAACACAGGUCAUUGCAAAACCGCAAGGUGAAGUAUAAUGGCUGACGCCUGCCCGGUGCUGGAAGGUUAAGGGGAAGAGUGAGAGCUUUGAACCGAAGCCCCAGUAAACGGCGGCCGUAACUAUAACGGUCCUAAGGUAGCGAAAUUCCUUGUCGGGUAAGUUCCGACCCGC
RNAcentral lists this ribosomal RNA (1979 nucleotides) under human gut metagenome. Its description in RNAcentral is "bacterial LSU rRNA". It matches the Rfam family "Bacterial large subunit ribosomal RNA", at positions 3 to 1991 of the family's 2925-position model. The record is from RNAcentral.